GGAAAUUUGAAAAACUACAGCUGCUUUGGGGCGGCUACUUGAGGGUGGCUACUUGAAUUUUUGUUUUGUUUUGUUUUUUUUCCCCUGAUAGCUAAUAUGGAAGGUGAGUGCCAUGUGUGUAUUUACUGGCCUCUACACAAGCACUCAGGAUCGCAGUGAAACAGGAAAUAAUUCUUUAAUGUAUUUGCCUGAUGCAAGCUGGGCACUGUGGUGAGAGAAUAGUGAAGGACGAAACACACAAAAGGAUGUAAAAUCAUGAAUUCUGCCAAACUGAUUAGCUUGAGGGAUGCAAUACUACACAUGAAAAUACGCAACAAAUAAUGUAUUAAAGGCCAGCUUUAGGCCGGAAUGCACCUUUAAAUAAUUUUCGGGAGGUUGCUAAACCUCCCUUGCCUCCUCUGACGGACUGCCACUCUGUUUGGGGAAAAACGUAACAAAAAGUUUGAAGUCCAGCCGUACUCGAAUCUCACCGCUGAUGGAACACAGGACUGAACUGAUAUAAGGCUGAGAGAGUGAAAGAGAGAGCGAGACACAGCUGUCUAACCCAAGCUGUGUCAAAGACCACAAGUUAGAUUAUUUUAAGCUGGGGGCUUCUUUGAAAUCCCACCACUCGGAGUGUGUGUGAAUCUCCUCCAGCUUGGCCAGCCUUACCACUCUGUCAGCCUCCAGGCCCCUUUGAACCUCCAUUAAUGCCUUUUUCCUAGAGUUAAUCACUCACACAUGUGACUGCUUAUAUGAGCUUCCAGUUCAUUAUCAAGUAUCUCAUCUCAUCCAAGGUCAGAGGACGUCUUCAGAAUGGAACAAAUCAUUUGUUGCUUAAUGCUUUAUUUUCAAAGCUAGAAUGUAAAACGCCCAGUUAACAAAAAGGCACCAGCAAGCAUACAAUCUAUUAGAUACAUUCCUAAAAAGAUGGUUGUUCAGGGGUUCCUUAGUAAAUGAAAUGGUGCUAUUCAGAACCAUGAGGUUUAUACAGAACCAUUUUAUGCUCAAAUGAUUCUUUGCUUGGUAAAAUGGUUCUUAAGAUUGUUGGAGAAUGUGUUGUUAAUAACUAUAUAGAACCGUGUUGAAAAC
Molecule: long non-coding RNA, 1071 nt
Organism: Pygocentrus nattereri (red-bellied piranha)
Lineage: Eukaryota; Metazoa; Chordata; Actinopteri; Characiformes; Serrasalmidae
Source: Ensembl